UACGGAAGGCAGCAGGGGGAAGUAUUGUCACAAUAGGGCGGCAAGACCUCGAUGCAGCCACUGCCGCCGUGUAUGAAGAAGGCCUUCCGGGUUGUAAAGUACUUUCUAGUCGUGAGGAAGGUGUUAAGGUUAAUAACCUUAGCAAUUGACGUUAGCGACAGAAGAAGCACCGGCUAACUCCGUGCCAGCAGCCGCGGUAAUACGGAGGGUGCGAGCGUUAAUCGGAAUUACUGGGCGUAAAGGGCACGCAGGCGGUUAAUUAAGUUGGAUGUGAAAUCCCCGGGCUUAACCUGGGAAUGGCAUUCAAGACUGGUUAGCUAGAGUCUUGUAGAGGGGGUAGAAUUCCAUGUGUAGCGGUGAAAUGCGUAGAGAUGUGGAGGAAUACCGGUGGCGAAGGCGGCCCCUGGACAAAGACUGACGCUCAUGUGCGAAAGCGUGGGGAGCAAACAGGGAUUAGAUA
Molecule: ribosomal RNA, 460 nt
Filed under: uncultured bacterium
Lineage: Bacteria
Description: bacterial SSU rRNA
Rfam family: Bacterial small subunit ribosomal RNA
Source: RNAcentral